Molecule: ribosomal RNA, 909 nt
Filed under: Triticum aestivum (bread wheat)
Lineage: Eukaryota; Viridiplantae; Streptophyta; Magnoliopsida; Poales; Poaceae
Description: partial small subunit ribosomal RNA
Source: RNAcentral
AUGAAACCUGUAAAUGCAGUUGAUCCCAUUGAUGUGUUAAACAUCAAAAUGAAGAGAUUCAAAAAAUUCUUCAAAGGGUGGGGAUCCAACUUGUUUGGGAAAUCUAGAAAGAGAAGGACAGACCUUAGAGAGGAACUUGAACAUCUAGAAAAAUUAGAAGAAACUGAUGUGCUUUCUCCCGAAUUAUACUGCAAGAAAGUGGAUAUUUUGGCAGAACUUUAUGAUCUACUGGUGGAAGAAGAGAUUGCAUGGAUGCAAAAAUCUCAUGAAAAUUGGUUGUUGAAAGGGGAUAGAAAUAUUGAAUACUUUCAUAGAAUUGUAAAUGGGAGAAGAAGGAGAAAUACUAUUUUCUCACUUAGCUGUGGAGAUGAGAUAAUUGAGGGAACUAGAAACUUGCUGAAACAUGCAACUGAGUUUUAUAAAGAACUUUUUGGGCCUGCAGCUGGAAAUCUAUGCAAACUUAAGGAAAAUAUGUGGGAACCAAAUGAAAAACUGUCAAAUAUUGACAACUUUAUUCUUACUAGACCUUUCUCUGAAACAGAAAUAAAAAAUGCUCUUUUCUCUAUGAAGAAAAAUAAAGCACCAGGUCCAGACAAUAUGCCCAUUGAAUUCUUUCAACAUUGCUGGGACAUAGUAAAAAAUGAAGUGCUACUCUUGUUUGAGUGGUUUCAUGACAACAAACUAGAUGUACAAUGUUUGAACUAUGGGAUAAUUACUUUACCACCCAAAGUGGUAGGAGCGAAUAAAAUUCAGCAGUUUCGACCCAUAUGCUUGCUGAGAUGCAUUUAUAAACUCAUCACUAAGGUGCUUACAAUUAGACUGGAGCCUUUUGUGGAUAUCCUAUUUAGUAGGCAUCAAAAUGCUUUUAUCAAAAAAAGACAUAAUGGAUGGAAUCAUGUCUUUAUAUGA